Molecule: ribosomal RNA, 242 nt
Filed under: uncultured bacterium
Lineage: Bacteria
Description: partial 16S ribosomal RNA
Rfam family: Bacterial small subunit ribosomal RNA
Source: RNAcentral
UACGUAGGGGGCAAGCGUUGUCCGGAAUUAUUGGGCGUAAAGAGCGCGUAGGCGGUCCGAUAAGUCGGCUGUGAAAGUCAGGGGCUCAACCCUUGAAAGCCGGCCGAUACUGUCGGACUAGAGUCCGGAAGAGGCGAGUGGAAUUCCCGGUGUAGCGGUGAAAUGCGCAGAUAUCGGGAGGAACACCAAUGGCGAAGGCAGCUCGCUGGGACGGUACUGACGCUGAGGCGCGAAAGCGUGGG